AAAUCCCUCAUGGCUUGGUAUUAUCUUUGUGUUGAUACUGAGUUCUCAUGAGAUCUGGUCAUUUAAAAGUGUAUGGAACCUGCGCCCCCACUGUCUCUCACUUGUGUCUGCUUCUGUCAUGUGACAUGUGUGCUCACCUUCCACCAUGAUUUUCAGUUCCUGAGGCCUCCCUAAAAGCCGAGCAGAUGCCAGCACCAUACUUCCUGUGAAGCCUGCAGAACCGUAAAGUUUAAGCAUUACUGACUACUGGCAAACGGUGGCCUCUCAGCUGUCCCUCAGAAGAAGCUACAGAAAAGAAGCAAGUACAGUCAUGAGAGACUCAAAAUCCGAAAAGAAGUUACACUUCAGAUGGAAAACAUGAAG
Molecule: long non-coding RNA, 363 nt
Organism: Cercocebus atys (sooty mangabey)
Lineage: Eukaryota; Metazoa; Chordata; Mammalia; Primates; Cercopithecidae
Exons: 3
Source: RefSeq, a predicted model, not a curated record